GCAUCGGUGGUUCAGUGGUAGAAUGCUCGCCUGCCACGCGGGCGGCCCGUUUGAUUCCGCUGAUACA
RNAcentral lists this transfer RNA (67 nucleotides) under Cordylochernes scorpioides. RNAcentral describes it as "tRNA-Gly". It matches the Rfam family "tRNA". From Rfam's summary of the family: Transfer RNA (tRNA) molecules are approximately 80 nucleotides in length. Their secondary structure includes four short double-helical elements and three loops (D, anti-codon, and T loops). Lineage: Eukaryota; Metazoa; Arthropoda; Arachnida; Pseudoscorpiones; Chernetidae. The record is from RNAcentral.